Molecule: ribosomal RNA, 460 nt
Filed under: uncultured bacterium
Lineage: Bacteria
Description: partial 16S ribosomal RNA
Rfam family: Bacterial small subunit ribosomal RNA
Source: RNAcentral
CCUACGGGUGGCAGCAGUGAGGAAUAUUGCUCAAUGGACGAAAGUCUGACCCAGCCAAGUAGCGUGAAGGAUGACUGCCCUAUGGUUUGUAAACUUCUUUUAUAAAGGAAUAAAACGAGGCACGUGUGCCUUUUUGCAUUUACUUUAUGAAUAAGGAUCGCCUAACUCCGUGCCAGCAGCCGCGGUAAUACGGUGGAUCCGAGCGUUAUCCGGAUUUAUUGGGUUUAAAGGGAGCGUAGAUGGGUUGUUAAGUCAGUUGUGAAAGUUUGCGGCUCAACCGUAGAAUUGCAAUUGAUACUGGCAGUCUGGAGUACAGUUGAGGUAGGUGGAAUUCGUGGUGUAGCGGUGAAAUGCUUAGAUAGCACGAAGAACACCGAUUGCGAAGGCAGCUUACUAAACUGUGACUGACAUUGAUGCUCGAAAGUGUGGGUAUCAAACAGGAUUAGAUACCCGGGUAGUC